GUAGGCGGCUUGUUAAGCAAGGUGUGAAAUCGUACGGCUCAACCGUAUACACAUGCUUUGAACUGGCAAGCUAGAGAAUGAGAGAGGUUAUUGGAAUUCCAAGUGUAGGAGUGAAAUCCGUAGAUAUUUGGAGGAACACCGAUGGCGUAGGCAGAUAACUGGCUCAUUUCUGACGCUAAGGCACGAAAGCGUGGGGAGCAAACGGGAUUAGAUACCCCGGUAGUCCACGCCCUAAACGAUGGGUGCUAGCUGUAUGGAGUAUCGACCCUCUGUGUAGCGAAGCUAACGCGUUAAGCAUCCCGCCUGUGGAGUACGGUCGCAAGACUAAAACAUAAAGGAAUUGACGGGGACCCGCACAAGCGGUGGAGCGUGUUGUUUAACUCGAUGAUAAACGAAGAACCUUACCCAGGCUUGACAUCCUACUAAAGACUGCGAAAGCAGACUGUGUCUUCGGACCGUAGUGACAGGUGUUGCAUGGCCGUCGUCAGCUCGUGUCGUGAGAUGUUAGGUUAAGUCCUUCAACGAGCGCAACCCUUAUAGUUAGUUGUAUUUUUCUAGCUAGACUGCCCUGGUAACAGGGAGGAAGGAGGGGAUGAUGUCAGGUCAGUAUUACCCUUACGUCUGGGGCUACAAACACGCUACAAUGGCCGGUACAAAGCGCAGCCAACCCGCGAGGGGGAGCAAAUCGCAUCAAAGCCGGUCUCAGUUCAGAUUGCAGGCUGAAACUCGCCUGCAUGAAGCUGGAAUCGCUAGUAACGGUAGGUCAGCUAUACUACCGUGAAUACGUUCCCGGGUCUUGUACACACCGCCCGUCAAACCAUGAAAGUCGCCAAUACCUGACGUCCUAGCUUGCCUAGGCCUAAGGUAGGGGAGAUGAUUGGGGUU
Molecule: ribosomal RNA, 885 nt
Filed under: uncultured Candidatus Saccharibacteria bacterium
Lineage: Bacteria; Candidatus Saccharimonadota
Description: bacterial SSU rRNA
Rfam family: Bacterial small subunit ribosomal RNA
Source: RNAcentral